This 431-nucleotide ribosomal RNA is filed under the name Acanthamoeba sp. Its description in RNAcentral is "SSU rRNA". It matches the Rfam family "Eukaryotic small subunit ribosomal RNA", at positions 754 to 1116 of the family's 1831-position model. The record is from RNAcentral. Lineage: Eukaryota; Discosea; Longamoebia; Acanthamoebidae.
ACCGUGAAAAAAUUAGAGUGUUCAAAGCAGGCAGAUCCAAUUUUCUGCCACCGAAUACAUUAGCAUGGGAUAAUGGAAUAGGACCCUGUCCUCCUAUUUUCAGUUGGUUUUGGCAGCGCGAGGACUAGGGUAAUGAUUAAUAGGGAUAGUUGGGGGCAUUAAUAUUUAAUUGUCAGAGGUGAAAUUCUUGGAUUUAUGAAAGAUUAACUUCUGCGAAAGCAUCUGCCAAGGAUGUUUUCAUUAAUCAAGAACGAAAGUUAGGGGAUCGAAGACGAUCAGAUACCGUCGUAGUCUUAACCAUAAACGAUGCCGACCAGCGAUUAGGAGACGUUGAAUACAAAACACCACCAUCGGCGCGGUCGUCCUUGGCGUCGGUCUUUCGGGGCCGGCGCGGGGGCGGCUUAGCCCGGUGGCACCGGUGAAUGACUCCC